CUGUCACAGAAGGUCAAGAGCCCUACUGCACAGGCUACCUGUUCAUUCUUCAGUGUUCUUCAGUCUAUACGUAGCUGCUUUCAAGCUGUUCCUGGUUUGUUUAUAAAGAGAGAAAGAGAGUUUCUUCAAUUUUUGGCUCCUUCAAUAAUACUGGUUGUUAGCACCUAAUAUU
RNAcentral lists this long non-coding RNA (172 nucleotides) under Salvator merianae (Argentine black and white tegu). RNAcentral's name for it is "lncRNA (ENSSMRG00000010385.1)". The record is from RNAcentral. Lineage: Eukaryota; Metazoa; Chordata; Lepidosauria; Squamata; Teiidae.